Molecule: ribosomal RNA, 484 nt
Filed under: uncultured bacterium
Lineage: Bacteria
Description: partial 16S ribosomal RNA
Rfam family: Bacterial small subunit ribosomal RNA
Source: RNAcentral
AUUGAACGCUGGCGGCAGGCCUAACACAUGCAAGUCUAGCGGAUGAAGGGAGCUUGCUCCUGGAUUCAGCGGCGGACGGGUGAGUAAUGCCUAGGAAUCUGCCUGGUAGUGGGGGAUAACGUCCGGAAACGGUCGCUAAUACCGCAUACGUCCUGAGGGAGAAAGUGGGGGAUCUUCGGACCUCACGCUAUCAGAUGAGCCUAGGUCGGAUUAGCUAGUUGGUGGGGUAAAGGCCUACCAAGGCGACGAUCCGUAACUGGUCUGAGAGGAUGAUCAGUCACACUGGAACUGAGACACGGUCCAGACUCCUACGGGAGGCAGCAGUGGGGAAUAUUGGACAAUGGGCGAAAGCCUGAUCCAGCCAUGCCGCGUGUGUGAAGAAGGUCUUCGGAUUGUAAAGCACUUUAAGUUGGGAGGAAGGGCAGUAAGUUAAUACCUUGCUGUUUUGACGUUACCAACAGAAUAAGCACCGGCUAACUUCGUG